GUGCGUAGGCGGGCGUGUAAGUGCUUUGUGAAAGCCCUGGGCUCAACCCAGGAACCGCAGGGCAUACUGCACGUCUAGAAGUAGCUAGAGGCCGGUGGAACGAUCGGUGGAGCGGUGGAAUGCGUAGAGAUCGAUCGGAACGCCAAGGGUGAAGACAACCGGCUGGGGCUUACUUGACGCUGAGGCACGAAAGCGUGGGGAUCAAACAGGAUUAGAUACCCUGGUAGUCCACGCCCUAAACGAUGCACACUAGAUCGAUGCGGGUUUCACCCCGUAUUGGUCGUAGAGAAAUUGAUAAGUGUGCCGCCUGGGAAGUACGGUCGCAAGGCUAAAACUCAAAGAAAUUGACGGGGGCUCACACAAGCGGUGGAGCAUGUUGCUUAAUUCGAANCAACGCGAAGAACCUUACCUGGGUUUGACAUGCACGGAUUAGUUCCUGGAAACAGGAAUGAGGCCCGCAAGGGUACAACGUGCACAGGUGCUGCAUGGCUGUCGUCAGCUCGUGCUGUGAAGUGUUUGGUUAAGUCAUUAA
RNAcentral lists this ribosomal RNA (532 nucleotides) under uncultured bacterium. RNAcentral describes it as "bacterial SSU rRNA". It matches the Rfam family "Bacterial small subunit ribosomal RNA", at positions 567 to 1092 of the family's 1533-position model. The record is from RNAcentral.